Molecule: long non-coding RNA, 8074 nt
Filed under: Sus scrofa (pig)
Lineage: Eukaryota; Metazoa; Chordata; Mammalia; Artiodactyla; Suidae
Description: lncRNA (ENSSSCG00060075746.1)
Source: RNAcentral
UGGCUGUGGCUGUGGUGUAGGCCAGUGGCUACAGCUUCGAUUCGACCCUUGGCCUGGGAACCUCCAUAUGACACUGGAGCCGCCCAAGAAAUGGCAAAAAGACAAAAAAAAUUUACUUGACUGAAGUAGAGUUGAUUUACGAUGUUGUGUUAGUUUCAGGCGUACAGCAAAGUGACUCGUGUAUUUGUGUGUGUGUGUGUGUGUGUGUACACGUAUAUCUGAUGUGUAUGUAUAUACACACACAUCCUUUUUCAUACUCCUUUCCAGGGUGGUUUGUCACAGGAUGCUGAAUGUAGUUCGCUGUAGGGCAGGAGCCUGUUGUUUGUCCAUCCUGCAUACGUCUGCCUCUGCGAGACCCAAGCUCACUCCCAGUCCUUCCCUGCCCCACCCGCCUCCCCUUCGGCAGCCACAAGUCUGUUCCCUCUGUCCCAGAGUCUGCUUCUGCCUCGUAGACACGUUCGUUUGUGUUGAGUGUUUGUGAAGUUUCGUUAGAGUUGCUUUACGCGGGUGUGAUCAUGUCCGCUCUGCAACAACGUGAUUCAGGGACCCCUGUACCCACAGCCUUUCUCUCCCAGAUUCUCUUCCCACACAGAGGAUCCCAGAAUAUCGGGUAGAGGUCUCUGGGCUGCACGGCAGGUCCCCACUGGCCAGGACAACUCAGCGUACAGAUGCCAGUCCCAAACCCCAGGCUAUCUCUCCUCCCCCACAACUGUCCGCUUUGGUAACCGUACGCUUGUUUUCGAAGUCUGCCUGUCUGUUUCUGUUCUGCAGAUCAGUUUGUGCCACAUUUGAGACGCCACGUAUAAAUGAUAUCAUGUGACAUUUGUCUUCCACUGUCUGACUGACCUCACUUAGCAGGAGCAUCUCUAGGUCCGUCCCUGUUGCUGCAAACGGCAUCAUUUCACUCUUUUUACGGCUAACACUCCAUCGUGUAUAUGGACUACGUCUUCUUGAUCCAGUCCUCUGUUGAUGGACGUUUGGGGUGCUUCCAUGUCUCAGCUGUUGUGCAUAGAGCUGCAGUGAAUACUAGGGCGCACGUAUCUUUGUGAAUUACUGGUUCCUCCAGAGAGAGGCCCAGGCGUGGGAUUGCUGGUGGCAGUUCUGGUUUUAGUUUUUGCGUCCCCUCCGUACUGUUCCCCACAGUGGCAGCACCAGGUGACCUUCCCACCAGCAGUGUAGGUAGGUGGUUUUCUGAUCCCUGGCCUGGAGGACGAGAGUCCAGAGGGAAAGAGAAACUUUCCAUCCCCUCUUCCCUUCCGUGCAGUUCACGGGAUCCACAAACAACGCCUCCGGGAGAGGAACUGUUUUUAUCCUCAACACACUGAGUUGGAACCGCUAUUAAGAAAACUGCACAAGAACCCAGCUGGGAAGUGAAAGAGCCAAAACGCACUCCCACGCCGCGUUACUCCACAGCCUGCUCACUGCCACGUGUUACUACCCCACGGCUACGGGCGAGGGCUCGCUGCCUGGGGGGCACGGCAGCCAGCACCGCAGGCCCAGCUUUUGAGGAAAGAGGAGGCUUUGUUGCCAGGCCCAUGGCCAGGAAACAGGAGGCAGGGCUUCCAUCUGUCUUUCCCGUCCAGGGUUCAGGGUAAAAUUUAAGGGGUUCAGGGGACUUCAGACGUGGAAGCCAAUGGGCUCGUCUCAGUCUGUAGAAGCUGCUGGACGCCAGACUUUCCUCAUUGAAGGACGUCUCCCUUCCUCAAGGGCCCUGCCUGUAACACUUGCAUCCUUUGGGUCGCAGACUGAAGAGUCUUGGUUCCAGGGUCCCCUGAGAACGUGGGUUCCCAGGCUGGGGGUCCAAUCAGAGCUACAGCUGCUGGCCUCCACCACAGCUCACAGCUACGCCAGAUCCGAGCCUUGUCUGUGACCUAAACCACAGCUCACAGCAAUGCUGGAUCCUUCACCCACCAGAGGCCAGGGAUCAAACUUGCAUCCUCAUGGAUCCUCGUCGGCUUCAUUACCACAAGGGGAACUCUCUCGGGUCUCAUUUUAAAACCCAUUCCUGUUGAUGGAUGAGGUCUACGUAUAUCCUCAGGUGUCUUGAGGGACUUGUGAUCCCCCCGCUUCCCCCCCCACCACACACACACACAGCCCUUCCACACGGAUGGCCGGUUGGGGCUGGAGAAACACAGUUCCCUCCAUCUCUUCAGCACCCCCCACCAGGGGGUGAGAAGCAGCCCUGAGUGUGCAAGGACCUCCCCACCCCUCCGUGUUCGUCUCUCUCCCUUCAUCCUCUCCAUCCCCUGCGUCCAGGACACCUCCGAGCCCUCUCCCUGCACUGUCCCCGCUGAUGAGCAGCAAAACCCCUGGCUGACCACGCUGCCUCCACACCAGCCCUGGACGACUUUCUCCUUUUUAAAAAUCUUCCGCCAUGUUCACUUGACCCAAGGAACCCUUGUGUGACCACGUCGAAGUUUCAUCGGCAUCCCAAGGACAAGCCCCGCGCUCCAGCCUCCGACUCGCUGUGCGGGGGUCUCGGGUGUGCCUCGCAGUGACAGCGCUUCUCCGUCUGAAAGUUACCUUGAUCACAUACCCUUGACACAUUUCAGGAUUUCUUAUGAUCGACGGUGGCGAGAGAGGUUGCCGGCAGCCAAGCGUCCCAAACACACCUUGAAAUGUUCCCAUAACUAGUCGAGUCUGUUUUCCGAAUUGAUUUUACGCCGUUAAGAUGGAAUCAACUGCAAACAUCCCACCCUGUCCGUUGCUGAGCUACAUCUCACGGCAGGGGCAGGUCUUGUCGUGGUGGGGGUGGGUCCUGUGGCGGGGACGGGUCUUGUCACAGUGGGGAUGGGUCUUUUCAUGGCGGGGACGGAUCUUGUUGUUGUGGGGACGGGUCUUUUCAUGGCGGGGAUGGGUCCUGUCAUGGUGGGGACGGGUCUUCUUGUUGUGGGCAUGGGUCCUGUCACAGUGGGGACGGGUCUUUUCAUGUCGGGGAUGGGUCUUGUUGCGGGGAUGGGUCUGGUCACAGCAGGGAUGUGCCAGGGGUUGCAGAUAAAGGGCACUGGUCAGCUUGUAGAUGUUGUGCGUAUGGAGCUGCUGUAUAUAUACCCUUGCAUUCACAUUUUUCUCAGUGUAAGUCCUUUUUUGUAGAUUGAACAGCUCAGAGUGGGAAAUUUGGGUCAAACGGUAAAAGUGUGUUUAAUUAUAAAAGAGAGGGACCAGAGUUCCCUGGUGGCUCAGCGGGUUAAGGAUCCAGCGUUGUCACUGCAGUGGGUUCGAUCUCUGGCCCUGGAACCUCCACAUGCUGCAGGCACGGCCAAAAGAAAUUUUUUAAUAAAAAAUUUUAAAAAGAGACAGACUGUCUUCCUGGUGGAUGCGCCAUUCCACACCCCUCAGCAGCGGUGGGAGUUGCAGCUGCCCCACAACCCUUGGGAGGGUCAGUGGUGCUCCCGAGGCUCCCAGAGGCCAUGUGAUGUCUGACUGCACCCAGCUUCAGUCCUCCCGGGGCUGGUGAUGCAAACCUUUUCAAGUGCCUCCCCAGACCCUUCCUGGUGAACCGUCUGUGCAAGUCUCCUUUUUCAUUUUCUGAUUUUGAUUUCAGGCUGCACCCAUGGCAUGUGAAAAUUCCCAGGCCAGGGAUCAAACCCUCAUCACAGCAGUGACCUGAGCCUCUGCUGUGACAACAUCAGACCCUUAACCCUCUGUGCCACCAGGGAACUCCUGCAAGUCUCUUUUUUUUUAGAGUAAAAGUGUAUAUAUGUAAGGAGUUCCCAUCGUGGCGCAGUGGUUAACGAAUCUGACGAGGAACCAUGAGGUUUCGAGUUCGAUCCCUGGCCUUGCUCAGUGGGUUCAGGAUCUGGCGUUGGCAUGAGCUGUGGUGUAGGUCGCAGACGCGGCUUGGUUCCCGUGUUGCUGUGACUGUGGUGUAGGCCGGUAGCUACAGCUCCGAUCAGACCCCUAGCCUGGAACCUCCAUGUGCCGCGGGUGUGGCCCUAGAAAAGGCAAAAAGACCACAAAAAAGUGCACAUAUGUAAGGUGUACAGCAUGAGUUGUUAUACACACACAUAGUGAAAUGAUUACCACACUAAUUCACAAACACAGUUGCCCUUGAGAGCCCCUGAAAUCUCCCCUCUGAGGAAAUGUCCAGUAUUCCCCACGCUGUUAUUAACCGCAGUCACCGGGCUGCACGCAAGCUCUCUCGACUCACGCACCCCACAGACCUUCAGCCAUCCUCCCCCCCACAACCGCAGUUCUACCCCCGGCUUCUAUGCAUUUGCCGUUUUCAACUUCCACGGGUGUGAAAUCUUUUUUUCUUUUUCUUUCUGUGCCUGGCUUAUGUAAUGUACCCUGCUGUCCUCCAAGCUCACCUGUGUUUGUUUCAAAUGGAAGGACCCCUUUCCUGUUUAAGGCUGCGUCAUAUUCCAUCGUACCUGGACCCCACCAUUUCUUUAUCAGUUCGUCUGUCUGUGGACACGUAGGCUGUUCGGGUCUUUUGCCUGCUUGCUGACUGGCUCAUUUGUCUUUAUGCAGAGAUGUCUUUGUUCCUCUCCCCUCACUGAUUUUAUGAGUAAGCACAUGGAAGCACAGAGAGGUUAAGUGACUUGCCUGAAUAUGCACAGCUGAUAACCAGCAGAGCCAGAAAACAGGAAUCCACGCCACCUCCUUGGUGGGAAGAACAGCAGAGAGGAGAGAGGCCCUUACUCCUUGUGAGUGUGUGUGUGUGUGUGUGUGUGUGUGUGUGUGUGUGUGCACUCAGUUCUGACUUUUACAAACAUGCGGCCAUUCCAUGUUCUGAGACACGCUCCAGACACGGAUUGUUCAAGGAUCUCCACAGGGCCUGGCCGGUACCCACCUCGGGGCCUUUGCACCUGCUAUGCCCUCAGCCAGGAAAGGGGAAGGACUUUCUCUUUCCCGUCAUCCCCUUCUCAUGUCAAGUCUCAGCCCCCACAUCACAGCCUCCGAGGGCCAUGUCCAAACUUACCCUCUGGGGUUGGCUCAUUAAGCUGCUGACCGCCCCUCUUUCCAAGGCGGGUUUAAACUCUACGUGCUCAGGCAGCUUGUUCAGGAUGGGUCAUCCUUCAUCCACCACUGGCUCCCGGGAGGGAGGGACCUGGGUGGGCCUGGCCUCACCAGGUGAACCUUCCAAAGCUGAGCCUUGGCUCAGACUGGUCAGCUGCUCCCAGAGAAACACAGAGACAGGGUCCCGCCGGCCUGGACGAGGAAGAAGCAGCUGCGGUUGUGUGCAUCCCUGGAGGAGGACGCAGCCCCCCUCGGACAGGCAGAGAGACGACUCGCCCCCGAGCCCAGCAGCCGCAGGGGAAGGUCUGCCUGCAGCCAGGCGGGGGCGUGUGCGCGCACAUGCGCGUGUGUGCCCUCGGGUAAGGCCCCGGCCUGGAGAACACGGUGACCGACUCAGCGACCCACGCACGGGACCCUGAGCCGGGAAGCCGGCAUACGGUACCCUUUGUGCCGCCUUAAGCGGCUGAGUCGGUGGUGACUUGUGACACAGCAGCAGAAAACCAGCCCGCCUUCCACGGGCCAUUCCACGGACACUGCCUGACCUGCUCACGGCUGCCCCCGAAGCCCCCACGCAGGGCGGAGGCGGGGGUCCAGGAGGUCUGCUCGGCCCCCCUCGCACCCCCAGACCCUCGUGAUGGGGGCUUCCGUUCUCGAGUUAGAGGGAACGCUUUGGGGCCAUCGGUGAGUUAUGGGACCAGCCGGGUGUCACAGACCUGGUCCCCAGCCUGGCUUUGCUCCUUCUGGCUGGUGUCAGAAGCUCUGUGACCCCAAGCGGUUCCUUCAUAAAGUGGGGCCCGUUCAGUGCCUUCCCCGUGGGCUCGUGGAAUUGAAUAACUGGAUCUGUUUCUAAAGCACUUGGCACAGGGUCUGGAAACGCCGCCGACCUGUUACCUGAAGUCACUGCAUCCAGACCUGCCCUCCCACAUGUAUAACAUCUGUGCCAGGGCACACGCAGGCGCUGUUAAAUGUCUCUCUCACAUACACACACACACAGAGUCCCAAACAGACACCCUCCCCCUUCCAAAGCCCAGAUCAUCAGCAUUUGUUCAGUAGGCACGUCAUUGACACUGAGCAGCCUCAAGACGCUGUGCAGGACGCAUAGGGCAGCAAACUACAUCCUUGCAAAAUACAGCUGCGAAAUGACCGAUUCUCAAACGGUAGAGGGAACACUGCUUAGACACAGAAGGCAGCGGUACAUUUGCCAGACAGAUGGGGAGCGUCGGCGGGUCCCUCCCUGCUCUGGAAAGCUUGCUCGCCCGCGCGCGCGCGCGCUGUGCGUGCCAGGCUGCGUUCAAGAGCACCGUUCCCAUCCCCUGGUUGGAAUCUAGCCUGGCUUUCAGCUCGGUGGAAAGGCCGUGGGAUUCUGGAGAGCGGAGGGUCUGUCCUGGCCGCUUGGCCUCGGGUGACAAUUCUUUUUGUUCGAAUCUAAGCAUGGUUGCUCGACAGCCUUGUGCCGGUUUCUGCCGCACAGCAUAGUAACCCACUUGCACACAUGCACACACUCAUUUUUUCACACUGUCUUCCAUCGCAGUCCCUCCCAAGAGACUGGACACGGUUCCCCGUGCUGUACAGCAGGACCUCAUCGCCUAUGCAUUUCCUGUGAAGAUUCUAACGGCUUCUCGCCAUCUGUCCAUAUUCACUGGGGCCCGUCCUGGGUUGAAGGGAGUGAGGCUCUCGGCUUGGGUACAAAUUUUAAGUGUGGGGGUGAGGAGAGUGCAGACAUCUCAGUGAUCAAGAGAGAUAAUUUUUUUUUUUUUGGUCUUUUUAGGGCCACACCUGCAGCAUAGGGAGGUUCCCAGUCUAGGGGAAUCCAGCUUGGAAUCAGAGCUGUAGCCACCAGCCUACCCCAGAGCCACAGCAAUGCCAGAUCCGAACUGCGUCUGCGACCUACACCACAGCUCACAGCAACACCGGAUCCUUAACCCACUGAGCGAGGCCAGGAAUGGAACUCGCAACCUCAUGGUUCCUGGAUGGAUUCUUUUCCAAUGUACCACGAUGGGAACGCCAAGAGAUAAUAUUUUAAUGCAGCGUUUCCUUAAAAUUUCCCAGUUAAAAUGGUGGGAAAAAUCAACGAGGAAGAAAUGCCCACAUGUUAACGGAAGACGGGCUCUCGCAGGGCUGCGAGUAGGGCAAGGUGAGGCGACGAGUCCUGCAAAGCUCAGGGUGGAAAUGUUGAUGUUGCGCUCCUCACGGACUGGAGGCAUUAUCCUUUCUUUUUUAAGCAAACGGCACUGGCACCGGGGCCUUCUCGUGGCUCAGGAGCCUGAGAAUCAGGCAUGAUCCCUGCAGCAGUUCCCUUCGCUGCUGCAGUGUGGCUGCGCGACCUGGCCGGGGACUUUCGCGUGCCUCUGCUGCGCAGUAUUGCCCUGAGUCCUGAGGACUCGGCUUCCCUUACGUGGUGCGCCCAGGUGAACACCUCGGGGGCCCGCCAGCCCCUCCCCCCGCAGCAUCUCUGAUCCUUUCUCUCUGUCCCCACCGUGAAUACCCUCGUUCUUUCCACCACCGCGUCUGGCUGGAGCCGGCACAGCAAACUCCCCGCCACCUGCUGCAUCCUGGUCUGGACACGACCUCCAAGCUGCUGGCACUGAAACUCGGGGUGACUUCCUCCGCAAACCCUCCCCCCAAAGCCCACUCCCAUCAUCCUCUCCCACCGUCUAGAUGUCUCCCCCCUGCCUCCCCCACCCCCAUCCCCACCAUCGCCCAGUUUGGGUUAUAGCAACUGAUGCUGCUAUUUUCUCACCUCUUUUCAGUUCUCUGCGCCAUUUCCCAGGGUGGGGGACCGGUCACACAAGUGUGAUGUCAUUUCAGAUGGUCCGGCUCCAAGGACAAUUAAACUUUACCAUACAAUGUUAUACCCUUGGGAGUUCCCGUGGUGGCUCAGUGGAUUAAGAACCCGACACAGUGUCUGCGAGGAUGCGGGUUCAAUCCCUGGCCUCGCUCAGUAGGUUAAGGACCUGGCACUGCCACAAGCUGUGACUUAGAUAACAGAUGCGGCUCGGAUCCCGCAUUCCUGUGGCUGUGGUGUAGGUGGGCAGCUUCAGCUCCCACUCGACCCCUCGCCUGGGAACCUCCAUGUGCUGCAGGUGCCACUGUAAAAGGAAAAAAAAAAAAA